UACGUAGGGGGCAAGCGUUGUCCGGAAUCAUUGGGCGUAAAGCGCGUGUAGGCGGCUUCGUAAGUCCGUUGUGAAAGUCCAGGGCUCAACCCUGGAAUGCCGAUGGAUACUGCGGAGCUAGAGUCCGGAAGAGGCGAGUGGAAUUCCUGGUGUAGCGGUGAAAUGCGCAGAUAUCAGGAGGAACACCCGUGGCGAAGGCGGCCUUCUGGGUCCGCCCUGACGCUGAGGCGCGAAAGCGUGGGGAGCGAACGGG
This 253-nucleotide ribosomal RNA is filed under the name uncultured bacterium. RNAcentral describes it as "partial 16S ribosomal RNA". It matches the Rfam family "Bacterial small subunit ribosomal RNA", at positions 524 to 776 of the family's 1533-position model. The record is from RNAcentral.